UGGACAGAUUAUUGUACUCGACUGUAUUCACAGCGUGAAAUAGGGGAUUACACUGUUUUUAAACGGAAAGUGAAUCAAUUAACAUAAUAGACUCCC
Molecule: microRNA precursor, 96 nt
Filed under: Nicotiana sylvestris (wood tobacco)
Lineage: Eukaryota; Viridiplantae; Streptophyta; Magnoliopsida; Solanales; Solanaceae
Description: MIR6152 microRNA precursor family
Rfam family: MIR6152 microRNA precursor family
Source: Rfam by way of RNAcentral